RNAcentral lists this unclassified non-coding RNA (327 nucleotides) under air metagenome. Its description in RNAcentral is "partial contains small subunit ribosomal RNA, internal transcribed spacer 1, and 5.8S ribosomal RNA". The stretch from base 1 to 46 matches the Rfam family "Eukaryotic small subunit ribosomal RNA", at positions 1786 to 1831 of the family's 1831-position model. The record is from RNAcentral.
AAGUCGUAACAAGGUUUCCGUAGGUGAACCUGCGGAAGGAUCAUUAACGAAUAUCUAUGGCGUUGGUUGUAGCUGGCUCCUCGGAGUAUUGUGCACGCCCGUCAUUCAUAUCAUCUUUCCACCUGUGAACCAUGUGUAGGCCUGGAUACCCCUCGCUUUGGUAACAAAGCGGAUGCAAGGAUUGCUGCGUCGAUAAGGCCGGCUCUCUUUGAAUUUCCAGGUUCUAUGUCUUUUACACACCCCAUUUGAAUGGUUUAGAAUGUAGUCAAUGGGCUUUCAUGCCUAUAAAAAACUAUACAACUUUCAGCAACGGAUCUCUUGGCUCUC